Monodelphis domestica (gray short-tailed opossum) is the source of this 419-nucleotide long non-coding RNA. RefSeq lists it as uncharacterized. The record is from RefSeq and is a predicted model, not a curated record. NCBI's taxonomy places the organism in Eukaryota, Metazoa, Chordata, Mammalia, Didelphimorphia, Didelphidae.
CUGCUGCCCAGUUAGGGUUAAGUUUUUACAGUCUGGCCCUCCAAUGGUCUGAGGGACAGUGAACUGGCCUCCUGUGUAAAAAGUUUUGGGACCCCUGCCUACAGGGAGGAAAAGGAGAAUGCAAGUCAACCCAACCUGAAGAGCAAGCUGUUCCACUAGUCAUCUUCUCCACUCCCCUUCUUCCUAUGGAUUCACAAACAUUAUCUCCUUGCAUGGAAUAUACUCCCUCCACAUCACUGCGCCACUCAAGGACCACUUCCUUCUUGAAGCCUUCUGAGAUCAACCAUCCCUCAAUGGCUCUGUUUCAUCAGAAGAGACCUCUCCAUUUUCGAAUUAUUAUGUCAUUUUAUCUAAGCUUCUGCUUUGUCCCUCCUCCAGCUGAUUUUUUUCUUUUGAAAUAAAUGGUAGGGAUUUGGGGA